This 1546-nucleotide ribosomal RNA is filed under the name Shigella sonnei. RNAcentral's name for it is "partial 23S ribosomal RNA". It matches the Rfam family "Bacterial large subunit ribosomal RNA", at positions 1399 to 2925 of the family's 2925-position model. Lineage: Bacteria; Pseudomonadati; Pseudomonadota; Gammaproteobacteria; Enterobacterales; Enterobacteriaceae. The record is from RNAcentral.
AGGCCGAAAGGCGUAGUCGAUGGGAAACAGGUUAAUAUUCCUGUACUUGGUGUUACUGCGAAGGGGGGACGGAGAAGGCUAUGUUGGCCGGGCGACGGUUGUCCCGGUUUAAGCGUGUAGGCUGGUUUUCCAGGCAAAUCCGGAAAAUCAAGGCUGAGGCGUGAUGACGAGGCACUACGGUGCUGAAGCAACAAAUGCCCUGCUUCCAGGAAAAGCCUCUAAGCAUCAGGUAACAUCAAAUCGUACCCCAAACCGACACAGGUGGUCAGGUAGAGAAUACCAAGGCGCUUGAGAGAACUCGGGUGAAGGAACUAGGCAAAAUGGUGCCGUAACUUCGGGAGAAGGCACGCUGAUAUGUAGGUGAAGUCCCUUGCGGAUGGAGCUGAAAUCAGUCGAAGAUACCAGCUGGCUGCAACUGUUUAUUAAAAACACAGCACUGUGCAAACACGAAAGUGGACGUAUACGGUGUGACGCCUGCCCGGUGCCGGAAGGUUAAUUGAUGGGGUCAGCGCAAGCGAAGCUCUUGAUCGAAGCCCCGGUAAACGGCGGCCGUAACUAUAACGGUCCUAAGGUAGCGAAAUUCCUUGUCGGGUAAGUUCCGACCUGCACGAAUGGCGUAAUGAUGGCCAGGCUGUCUCCACCCGAGACUCAGUGAAAUUGAACUCGCUGUGAAGAUGCAGUGUACCCGCGGCAAGACGGAAAGACCCCGUGAACCUUUACUAUAGCUUGACACUGAACAUUGAGCCUUGAUGUGUAGGAUAGGUGGGAGGCUUUGAAGUGUGGACGCCAGUCUGCAUGGAGCCGGCCUUGAAAUACCACCCUUUAAUGUUUGAUGUUCUAACGUGGACCCGUGAUCCGGGUUGCGGACAGUGUCUGGUGGGUAGUUUGACUGGGGCGGUCUCCUCCUAAAGAGUAACGGAGGAGCACGAAGGUUGGCUAAUCCUGGUCGGACAUCAGGAGGUUAGUGCAAUGGCAUAAGCCAGCUUGACUGCGAGCGUGACGGCGCGAGCAGGUGCGAAAGCAGGUCAUAGUGAUCCGGUGGUUCUGAAUGGAAGGGCCAUCGCUCAACGGAUAAAAGGUACUCCGGGGAUAACAGGCUGAUACCGCCCAAGAGUUCAUAUCGACGGCGGUGUUUGGCACCUCGAUGUCGGCUCAUCACAUCCUGGGGCUGAAGUAGGUCCCAAGGGUAUGGCUGUUCGCCAUUUAAAGUGGUACGCGAGCUGGGUUUAGAACGUCGUGAGACAGUUCGGUCCCUAUCUGCCGUGGGCGCUGGAGAACUGAGGGGGGCUGCUCCUAGUACGAGAGGACCGGAGUGGACGCAUCACUGGUGUUCGGGUUGUCAUGCCAAUGGCACUGCCCGGUAGCUAAAUGCGGAAGAGAUAAGUGCUGAAAGCAUCUAAGCACGAAACUUGCCCCGAGAUGAGUUCUCCCUGACCCUUUAAGGGUCCUGAAGGAACGUUGAAGACGACGACGUUGAUAGGCCGGGUGUGUAAGCGCAGCGAUGCGUUGAGCUAACCGGUACUAAUGAACCGUGAGGCUUAACCUU